UCAUCAGGUCGGAUAAUCCUUAGCUGUUCCUCCUUUGAGGGGCAGAGUGGAACAUGAGGACUGGAGUUAGCAUGAUUCAUGAUUAACGUCUGCAUAAUCAGGACUUGCAACACCCUGAUUGAUCCUAUUUGAU
Molecule: small nucleolar RNA, 133 nt
Organism: Eptesicus fuscus (big brown bat)
Lineage: Eukaryota; Metazoa; Chordata; Mammalia; Chiroptera; Vespertilionidae
Product: U8 small nucleolar RNA
Exons: 1
Source: RefSeq, a predicted model, not a curated record